Molecule: ribosomal RNA, 277 nt
Filed under: uncultured eukaryote
Lineage: Eukaryota
Description: partial 18S ribosomal RNA
Rfam family: Eukaryotic small subunit ribosomal RNA
Source: RNAcentral
UAGUCAUAUGCUUGUCUCAAAGAUUAAGCCAUGCAUGUCUAAGUAUAAACAACUUUAUACAGUGAAACUGCAGAUGGCUCAUUAAAUCAGUUAUAGUUUAUUUGAUGGUACCUUACUACAUGGAUAACCGUAGUAAUUCUAGAGCUAAUACAUGCGCAAACAGAGUUCCGCAAGGGACUCUAGUGUUUAUUAGAUAAAAAACCAAUUCGGCUUUCGGGUCGAUUCAUAGGUGAAUCAUAAUAACUUUCGAAUCGCAUGGCCUCGUGCCGGCGAUAGA